AGGGAAUCUUCCGCAAUGGACGAAAGUCUGACGGAGCAACGCCGCGUGAGUGAUGAAGGCCUUCGGGUCGUAAAACUCUGUUGUUAGGGAAGAACAAGUAUCGGAGUAACUGCCGGUACCUUGACGGUACCUAACCAGAAGGCCACGGCUAACUACGUGCCAGCAGCCGCGGUAAUACGUAGGUGGCAAGCGUUGUCCGGAAUUAGUGGGCGUAAAGCGCGCGCAGGCGGUCCUUUAAGUCUGAGGGGAAAGCCCACGGCUCAACCGGGGAGGGUCAUUGGAAACUGGGGGACUUGAGUACAGAAGAGGAAAGCGGAAUUCCACGUGUAGCGGUGAAAUGCGUAGAGAUGUGGAGGAACACCAGUGGCGAAGGCGGCUUUCUGGUCUGUAACUGACGCUGAGGCGCGAAAGCGUGGGGAGCAAAC
Molecule: ribosomal RNA, 425 nt
Filed under: uncultured bacterium
Lineage: Bacteria
Description: bacterial SSU rRNA
Rfam family: Bacterial small subunit ribosomal RNA
Source: RNAcentral